AACGAACGCUGGCGGCAUGCCUAACACAUGCAAGUCGAACGAGACCUUCGGGUCUAGUGGCGCACGGGUGCGUAACGCGUGGGAACCUGCCCUUAGGUUCGGAAUAACUCCCCGAAAGGGGUGCUAAUACCGGAUAAUGUCUUCGGACCAACGAUUUAUCGCCUUUGGAUGGGCCCGCGUUGGAUUAGCUAGUUGGUAGGGUAAAAGCCUACCAAGGCGACGAUCCAUAGCUGGUCUGAGAGGAUGAUCAGCCACACUGGGACUGAGACACGGCCCAGACUCCGACGGGAGGCAGCAGUGGGGAAUAGUGGACAAUGGGCGAAAGCCUGAUCCAGCAAUGCCGCGUGAGUGAUGAAGGCCUUAGGGUUGUAAAGCUCUUUUACCCGGGAUGAUAAUGACAGUACCGGGAGAAUAAGCUCCGGCUACUCCGU
Molecule: ribosomal RNA, 431 nt
Filed under: uncultured bacterium
Lineage: Bacteria
Description: partial 16S ribosomal RNA
Rfam family: Bacterial small subunit ribosomal RNA
Source: RNAcentral